AAGGUUACCAACUGUUUUGGUUUGUCUGGGACUGAGAGGGUUCCUAGAAUAUAAGACUUUUGGUAC
This 66-nucleotide microRNA precursor is filed under the name Tupaia belangeri (northern tree shrew). RNAcentral describes it as "miRNA (ENSTBEG00000021211.1)". Lineage: Eukaryota; Metazoa; Chordata; Mammalia; Scandentia; Tupaiidae. The record is from RNAcentral.